Molecule: ribosomal RNA, 405 nt
Filed under: uncultured bacterium
Lineage: Bacteria
Description: bacterial SSU rRNA
Rfam family: Bacterial small subunit ribosomal RNA
Source: RNAcentral
GUGAGGAAUAUUGCACAAUGGAGGAAACUCUGAUGCAGCGACGCCGCGUGAGCGAUGAAGGUUUUCGGAUCGUAAAGCUCUGUCCUAAGGGAAGAUAAUGACGGUACCUUAGGAGGAAGCCCCGGCUAACUACGUGCCAGCAGCCGCGGUAAUACGUAGGGGACGAGCGUUGUCCGGAAUUAUUGGGCGUAAAGGGUGCGUAGGCGGCCUUGUAAGUCAGAUGUGAAAGAUCACGGCUUAACUGUGGUAAGCAUUUGAAACUGCAGGGCUUGAGUACAGGAGAGGAGAGUGGAAUUCCUAGUGUAGCGGUGAAAUGCGUAGAUAUUAGGAGGAAUACCAAUGGCGAAGGCGACUCUCUGGACUGUAACUGACGCUGAGGCACGAAAGCGUGGGGAGCAAACAGGA